This is a long non-coding RNA of Rana temporaria (common frog), 290 nucleotides long. RefSeq lists it as uncharacterized. The transcript is spliced from 3 exons. NCBI's taxonomy places the organism in Eukaryota, Metazoa, Chordata, Amphibia, Anura, Ranidae. The record is from RefSeq and is a predicted model, not a curated record.
CUUUUCCAUUAUUGGAAGCCUUGACCACUUCAAGCAUGAUGGAAUCCAUUCUCUUGCCUGCAGCAUUAGUGGAUGCUGGCGAGAUGACCAUCAAGGCUGAAGUAUGGCAACACUGUGCUGUUUGAGAGUAAACGGAGAGACAAGUUGCAAUUGAAAAUGUUAUCUUUUCCAUUAUUAGAAGCCUUGACUACUUCAAGCAAGUUGAAGGCAGAACACACCAAGCAUGAUGGAAUCCCCUCUCUUGUCCGGCAGCAUUAGUGGAAGGUGGGUACCAAGAAAACAUAUUAGGA